GUGGGGAAUUUUGGACAAUGGGGGCAACCCUGAUCCAGCCAUUCCGCGUGAGUGAAGAAGGCCUUCGGGUUGUAAAGCUCUUUCGGCAGGAACGAAACGGCGCGCUCUAACAUAGCGUGUCAAUGACGGUACCUGAAGAAGAAGCACCGGCUAACUACGUGCCAGCAGCCGCGGUAAUACGUAGGGUGCGAGCGUUAAUCGGAAUUACUGGGCGUAAAGCGUGCGCAGGCGGUUUCGUAAGACAGAUGUGAAAUCCCCGGGCUUAACCUGGGAACUGCGUUUGUGACUGCGAGACUCGAGUGCGGCAGAGGGGGGUGGAAUUCCACGUGUAGCAGUGAAAUGCGUAGAGAUGUGGAGGAACACCGAUGGCGAAGGCAGCCCCCUGGGUCGACACUGACGCUCAUGCACGAAAGCGUGGGGAGCAAACAGGAUUAGAAACCCCAGUAGUCC
Molecule: ribosomal RNA, 450 nt
Filed under: uncultured bacterium
Lineage: Bacteria
Description: bacterial SSU rRNA
Rfam family: Bacterial small subunit ribosomal RNA
Source: RNAcentral